AUGGCUAUUUUUCAGGAAGUUUUAUCAGAUUGCAAUUUAUUUGGCUUGGGCUAUCAUGGUAUUCCAUGGACGUAUGAUAAUAAACAAGAUGGUAAUAAUAAUGUGAAGGUCCGAUUGGACCAUGUGGUGGCUUGCCCUCUUUGGUCGUCUAUUUUCCCAAAGUGCAAGGUGUCUCACGUUAUCAGCUCCAGGUCAGACCAUUGUCCUCUCUUUAUAGAGCUAUUGGGACCGCCUCCUGGGGGCAGUCUUUUUUCUAAACAGUUGAGAUAUGAGGCUUAUUGGGAGAGGGAAGGUUCUUUGUUGGAUGAUCAUAUCAAAUCUUGUUGGAGUUUUGUGUAG
This 339-nucleotide ribosomal RNA is filed under the name Triticum aestivum (bread wheat). RNAcentral's name for it is "partial small subunit ribosomal RNA". Lineage: Eukaryota; Viridiplantae; Streptophyta; Magnoliopsida; Poales; Poaceae. The record is from RNAcentral.